RNAcentral lists this microRNA precursor (81 nucleotides) under Camelus bactrianus (Bactrian camel). RNAcentral describes it as "mir-769 microRNA precursor family". It matches the Rfam family "mir-769 microRNA precursor family". Lineage: Eukaryota; Metazoa; Chordata; Mammalia; Artiodactyla; Camelidae. The record is from Rfam by way of RNAcentral. RNAcentral also lists the same sequence under 2 other names.
GCACUCUGACCUGAGACCUCUGGGUUCUGAGCUGUGAUGUUACUUCCAAGCUGGGAUCUCUGGGGUCUUGGUUCAGGGGGC